Molecule: long non-coding RNA, 150 nt
Organism: Helianthus annuus (common sunflower)
Lineage: Eukaryota; Viridiplantae; Streptophyta; Magnoliopsida; Asterales; Asteraceae
Exons: 2
Source: RefSeq, a predicted model, not a curated record
AAUACUGCAGCACUCCGGUUCAACUAAUCAGGGUGAUCUAUGAUCAUGCUGCGUGGGAAGCCUCGAAAAAAAGUAAAAAGGUGUUGUUGAAAACAAUGGACAAUAAUAUAAAGAAAUACAUUUCUCUGGUUUCGGAUAUGAAUAAUCUCG